AUUGAACGCUGGCGGCAUGCUUUACACAUGCAAGUCGAACGGCAGCGCGGGCUUCGGCCUGGCGGCGAGUGGCGAACGGGUGAGUAAUACAUCGGAACGUGCCCAGUAGUGGGGGAUAGCUCGGCGAAAGCCGGAUUAAUACCGCAUACGACCUGAGGGUGAAAGCGGGGGAUCUUCGGACCUCGCGCUAUUGGAGCGGCCGAUGGCAGAUUAGCUAGUUGGUGGGGUAAAGGCCUACCAAGGCGACGAUCUGUAGCUGGUCUGAGAGGACGACCAGCCACACUGGGACUGAGACACGGCCCAGACUCCUAAGGGAGGCAGCAGUGGGGAAUGUUGGACAAAGGGCGAAAGCCUGAUCCAGCAAUGCCGCGUGUGUGAUGAAGGCCUUCGGGUUGUAAAGAACGUUUGGCGGGAACGAAAAGGACUGUGCCAAUACCACGGUUCGAUGACGGUACCCGCAGAAUAAGCACCGGCUAACUACGUG
RNAcentral lists this ribosomal RNA (484 nucleotides) under uncultured bacterium. RNAcentral's name for it is "partial 16S ribosomal RNA". It matches the Rfam family "Bacterial small subunit ribosomal RNA", at positions 29 to 507 of the family's 1533-position model. The record is from RNAcentral.